GUGCAGCAGGCGAGAAUACUUUACAAUGUGCGAAAGCACGAUAAGGGAACUCUGAGUGCCUCCUAAGGAGGCUGUUCAGGUGUCUAAAAGCACCUGGAGUAAGGGCUGGGGAAGACCGGUGCCAGCCGCCGCGGUAACACCGGCAGCCCAGGUGGUAGCCACUUUUAUUGGGUCUAAAGCGUCCGUAGCCGGUUGAGUAAGUUCCUUGGGAAAUUUGGCUGCUCAACAGUCAAGCUUCCAGGGAAUACUGCUCGACUUGGGACUGGGAGAGGUCAGAGGUACUCCAGGGGUAGGGGUGAAAAUCCAUUAAUCCCUGGGGGACCACCGGUAGCGAAGGCGUCUGACCAGACCAGGUCCGACGGUGAGGGACGAAGGCUAGGGUCGCGAACCGGAUUAGAUACCCCGUAGU
This 409-nucleotide ribosomal RNA is filed under the name uncultured microorganism. RNAcentral describes it as "bacterial SSU rRNA". It matches the Rfam family "Archaeal small subunit ribosomal RNA", at positions 330 to 745 of the family's 1478-position model. The record is from RNAcentral.